This is a non-coding RNA of Cebus imitator (Panamanian white-faced capuchin), 1130 nucleotides long. NCBI's taxonomy places the organism in Eukaryota, Metazoa, Chordata, Mammalia, Primates, Cebidae. The record is from the annotation of a RefSeq genome assembly.
GCAGAGUACAGCUGGUUCCCAGGGAGGCUGGGGGUGAUUCACCAUGCUCUUAGAAAAAAGGCUAGCCUCAUUUCCUCCCUAGCUCAAAGGGGUAGGAUUUCUCUACUCUGACAGCAGAUCUCCCAGAGGAAGCAGGCUGGCCACAUCAUUGGCCCAGAAGAGGAAGCGUCUGUCCCCCAGACUAACUGAAGGAAAGGCUGACUUGGAUGAUGCUCUGCUUUCUCCUUGUCCUUCUCCUGGGCACUUUCUUCGGGGCCAGAUCUCAGACUAUUCAUCAAUGGCCAGCGACCCUGGUGCAGCCUGUGGGCAGCCCGCUCUCUCUGGAGUGCACCGUGAAGGGGACAUCAAACCCCUACCUAUACUGGUACCGACAGUCUGCAGACAGGGGCCUCCAGCUGCUCUUCUCCUCACUUAGUGUUGACCAGAUCAACUCUGAGGUGCCCCAGAAUCUCUCAGCCUCCAGGCCCCAGGACGGGCAGUUCAUCCUGAGUUCUAAGAAGCUCCUCCUCAGUGAUUCUGGCUUCUAUCUCUGUGCCUGGAGUGUCACACUGAGCUGGGUGGGGCAGACAUCUGUGCAAAAACCCCACCUUCUCCUGAGCCCUAACCUCCAUCCCCAGGAGCCCUCAGUCAGAGACUGGGUGUAGGAUAUUUGUAACUAGGUUUUUUGACUGCUGGCCAAUGUGAAAGCAACGGAAUAAAGCUAGAAUUCUACAAAAGACGCUACUGUUCUCAGGGAGAACAAAAAAUCAUAUGUGUGCAGAACCUGUGAUUUGCCUGCACAUAACAAAGUUCCCAAUGUAUGGAUGUCCAGGCCUAGGCUACCAUACUCCAGCCCUCUAGGUGGGCUAUACCUUGCCUGAUUCUCUAUUCUUCCAAAUUCCUGUGUGCCCUAUGGAAGGCGUUGUGCAUACAUGGCUGAGAGAAAUAGGAUAUGCCUGUGACAGGAGGUGAGCUGGUGAACAAAUGGGAGGAUGCCAACUGAGGUUACUUAAUUGUUUAAUUUCAUCACCUGGAGAGUCUCCUGUCAUUGAUCUUUCUGCUGAGACUAGAAAUUCUGGGGGAGCUUAGACCUCAGGCUGUGAGUCAGGCAAAGAGGCAAGAUGUUGAGGAGACUGUUCUUGUUUGAGGCA